CGGCAAUUAGCCGGUCUGAACAGCAGUUCUCAACGCCCUGUUUGAACUUUCUCCAGUACCAAUGGUCAGAGUCGUCGUACUUUUCAGGAAACAGCAGACUUUCUGGGUUGUUUCUGAAGAACAUUCCACGACCUUGCCUAUCAAUGCCAU
This 150-nucleotide transfer RNA is filed under the name Belgica antarctica. Its description in RNAcentral is "tRNA IU25_tRNA_106". Lineage: Eukaryota; Metazoa; Arthropoda; Insecta; Diptera; Chironomidae. The record is from RNAcentral.